GAACGCUGGCGGCGUGCCUAACACAUGCAAGUCGAGCGGGGAUUGUAUUUAUAUAAUCCAAGCGGCGGACGGGUGAGUAACGCGUGGGGAAUCUGCCUUUACAGGGGGAUAACAACCGGAAACGGUUGCUAAUACCGCAUAAAGCAUAAGGUAUGCAUGUACCAUAUGUGAAAGGAGAAAUCCGGUAAAAGAGGAGCCCGCGUCCGAUUAGCUAGUAGGUGAGGUAAAGGCUUACCUAGGCGACGAUCGGUAGCCGAACUGAGAGGUUGAUCGGCCACAUUGGGACUGAGACACGGCCCAAACUCCUACGGGAGGCAGCAGUGGGGAAUAUUGCGCAAUGGGGGAAACCCUGACGCAGCAACGCCGCGUGAAGGAAGAAGGCUUUAGGGUUGUAAACUUCUUUGAUUAGGGACGAAAAAAAUGACGGUACCUAAAGAACAAGCCACGGCUAACUACGUGCCAGCAGCCGCGGUAAUACGUAGGUGGCAAGCGUUGACCGGAAUUACUGGGUGUAAAGGGCGUGUAGGCGGGGAUGCAAGUCAGAUAUGAAAUUCCGAGGCUUAACUUCGGAGCUGUAUCUGAAACUGUAUUUCUUGAGUGCUGGAGAGGAAAACGGAAUUCCUAGUGUAGCGGUGAAAUGCGUAGAUAUUAGGAAGAACACCAGUGGCGAAGGCGGUUUUCUGGACAGUAACUGACGCUGAGGCGCGAAAGCGUGGGGAGCGAACAGGAUUAGAUACCCUGGUAGUCCACGCCGUAAACGAUGGAUACUAGGUGUAGGGGGGUAGACCUUCUGUGCCGGAGUAAACACAAUAAGUAUCCCACCUGGGGAGUACGACCGCAAGGUUGAAACUCAAAGGAAUUGACGGGGGCCCGCACAAGCAGUGGAGUAUGUGGUUUAAUUCGAAGCAACGCGAAGAACCUUACCAGGGCUUGACAUACUAACGAAUAAUCUAGAGAUAGGUUAGACCUUCGGGACGUUAGAACAGGUGGUGCAUGGUUGUCGUCAGCUCGUGUCGUGAGAUGUUGGGUUAAGUCCCGCAACGAGCGCAACCCUUAUGGUUAGUUGCCAUCAUUAAGUUGGGAACUCUAGCCAGACUGCCGGUGACAAAUCGGAGGAAGGUGGGGAUGACGUCAAAUCAUCAUGCCCCUUAUGUCCUGGGCUACACACGUACUACAAUGGCUACUACAGAGGGAAGCGAACCCGCAAGGGGGAGCAAAUCCAAAAAAGUAGUCCCAGUUCGGAUUGUGGGCUGCAACUCGCCCACAUGAAGUUGGAAUUGCUAGUAAUGGCAGGUCAGCAUACUGCCGUGAUACGUUCCCGGGCAUUGUACACACCGCCCGUCACACCAUGAGAGUCGGCAACACCCGAAGUCAGUAGUUUAACCGAAAGGAGACGCUGCCGAAGGUGGGGUCGGUGAUUGGGGUGA
RNAcentral lists this ribosomal RNA (1427 nucleotides) under uncultured organism. RNAcentral describes it as "bacterial SSU rRNA". It matches the Rfam family "Bacterial small subunit ribosomal RNA". The record is from RNAcentral.